Molecule: non-coding RNA, 952 nt
Organism: Leptonychotes weddellii (Weddell seal)
Lineage: Eukaryota; Metazoa; Chordata; Mammalia; Carnivora; Phocidae
Source: RefSeq, a predicted model, not a curated record
AUCUAAAUAACACGGAAGAGCAACAUAAAGAGAGUAAAGAUGGCUCAUCAUCCUGCUAUACGGGACUAAGGAUCCUGAUAAGAAACAGAAGGACAAAAUGGCAUGCCUGCGGUGAUGUCAUACCCCCUUGUGAUUCUCACUCUGUUGUGACUGUCUCUAAUACUCCCCAGGUGAGUCCCCUAUGGGUUGUUGGUUUAACAAAGAUACUCCAUCAUGUUCAGUAAAUACUUUUCUGACCUACUUUAUAAAGAAUUUCUUCUAAUCAGGAUGGAUAUUAAACUUCACCAACUUAGUGAUUUGUACUAAUAGAUUGCUUUACAUUAAACCAUCUUUGCACUUCUAAAAUAAAUUCUCAUUUAUCAUUAUGAAGUAGGCUUUUAAUAGUCUGCUGGAUUUGACUUGCUAACAUUUUAUUUACGAUUUGUUUUUAAUCCAUAGCCACAAUUUAGCUUGUUCUUUAGUUUUUAUUUUUCUGCUUUCUAUAUUUUACUGAAGAAAAGCUUUGCAAAAUUAUUAAAGAAUUGGCAAGCCUUCAAUAUGUCUCUAUGCUCUCCAGCCUUGAGGUUGGAAAAAAUUAAUUCCUGAAACCAUUAGGACCUCACUUCUUUUGAAGAAAUAACUCUUUGAUCUCUUUUUAAGAUCAAAGAUCUAAGAUCUCAUAGGCCAUUGUAAGGUUAUUUUCCUCUGGUUAUUGAUCCACUUAACUUUCUACUUCAUUUUGCGUUAGUUUGGGUUAUUUAUAUUUUCCUAGAAAAUCUUCCAUUUCAUCAAGAUUAUAUUUAUCGUCAUGAUAAGUUUGUACAUGAUAUUCUCUGGACUCUGAAACAACUUCACCCAAUCUACUGAUAGCCUUCCCAGUUUUCUUUUUCCUCAUGAUUACAUUUUUAACAGUCAACUCGUGGAUUUCUGGAAUGGUUUUAUAGUUUAUUAAAUAUUUAUAUUCUACAUCAUG